Long non-coding RNA from Aptenodytes forsteri (emperor penguin), 292 nucleotides. RefSeq lists it as uncharacterized. The record is from RefSeq and is a predicted model, not a curated record. The transcript is spliced from 3 exons. NCBI's taxonomy places the organism in Eukaryota, Metazoa, Chordata, Aves, Sphenisciformes, Spheniscidae.
AGGAAGUGAACCAGGCAGCGUCCGAGAUGGCUUCGGAAGUCUACAUCGGGACGUGUGACUGGGCCCUGAAAAGCUCUGGUGCCAGCAUCGACAUGCAGAGAACUUCUGAGACCUACGACUACAAAGAGAAUUGAGGCUGCAGGGUUUUAUGGUUCUUUCGCACUGCCAACCCUCCUGAUACUAUUUUGCAGCCGGAUGUUUCCCCAGGAAACUGCUGGCCUUUACAAGGGCAUCAGGGCCAGGUGGUCAUCAGGUUGCCAGCACAAGUCCAUCUCACUGCCGUCACUGUGCA